GCUCUCUGCACUCUCCUCGACUGUGCACAACAACAAUGGCGGAAGUCGCUUCUUUCCUUUCCAGUUGAGUGGACUGACUGAAGACAAGCGUCUGUAGAGGCUGGCCAUGGAUGAAGAGUUGACACCUUUGGACUGCCUGCUGCCUUCAGGCACGCGGAGGAUCUGUUUGCUUAUUCUGAACCAGCCUCUGGAUAAGGAAUACCUCCACAUCUUAUGGAAUAAAG
This is a long non-coding RNA of Notothenia coriiceps (black rockcod), 224 nucleotides long. RefSeq lists it as uncharacterized. NCBI's taxonomy places the organism in Eukaryota, Metazoa, Chordata, Actinopteri, Perciformes, Nototheniidae. The record is from RefSeq and is a predicted model, not a curated record. The transcript is spliced from 3 exons.